UACAGAGGUCUCAAGCGUUGUUCGGAUUCAUUGGGCGUAAAGGGUGCGUAGGCGGCGCGGUAAGUCGGGUGUGAAAUCUCCACGCUCAACGUGGAGGGGCCAUUCGAAACUGCUGUGACUUGAGUCCGGUAGGGGGGUGUGGAAUUCCCGGUGUAGCGGUGAAAUGCGCAGAUAUCGGGAGGAACACCAGUAGCGAAGGCGGCACCCUGGGCCGGUACUGACGCUGAGGAGCGAAAGCGUGGGGAGCAAACAGG
Molecule: ribosomal RNA, 254 nt
Filed under: uncultured bacterium
Lineage: Bacteria
Description: partial 16S ribosomal RNA
Rfam family: Bacterial small subunit ribosomal RNA
Source: RNAcentral